GAGGGCGUGCGCACAUGUGUGAGCGUGCUAGCGUUAGGGCAGAACCGAUACCCUCUCGUCUGAAACCAUCAACUUUAAAAUGGGAGCAGAGGGGUGAACCCAAGCCGAUUGAAGCAAAAGUUAACCAACCAUUCUCCUUGGAGUGAGCAAGGAUCAGUAGAUUUUCUGUUAUAACGUGGAGUGGGAGAUGUCAGGGACCACCUGAGAGAACUCACCAACUUCAGAGACCACCUGUGGAAGCUCACCAACUUGCCUCAACUUGCCCGUUCCCUUACCUGCAGUAAACAUACUGCUUGGCAACAGCAGAGAUAUGCUCACAGAACCAUGGCUUAUCACAAGAUGUUUCAGGCCCCUGGCCAAGAAGAAUCUGUAAUUUAACCCACCCUACUUCCUUAUCCUGAACCCUUUA
Long non-coding RNA from Psammomys obesus (fat sand rat), 409 nucleotides. RefSeq lists it as uncharacterized. The record is from RefSeq and is a predicted model, not a curated record. The transcript is spliced from 3 exons. NCBI's taxonomy places the organism in Eukaryota, Metazoa, Chordata, Mammalia, Rodentia, Muridae.